GACGCGUCCUGCAGCUGCCCAAUUGCGUACGAGCAGGGGCUUCAGCGUCCCUUUGUUUGCGGGAAGAACAUGGCGGAUCGGCUCACGCAGCUGCAGGACGCCGUGAACUCGCUUGCGGAUCAGUUUUGUAAUGCCAUUGGAGUGUUGCAGCAGUGUGGUCCUCCUGCCUCGUUUAGUAAUAUUCAGACAGCAAUUAACAAAGAUCAGCCAGCUAAUCCUACAGAAGAAUACGCCCAGCUUUUUGCAGCGCUAAUUGCACGAACAGCAAAGGACAUUGAUGUUUUGAUAGAUUCUUUACCCAGUGAAGAGUCUACAGCUGCUUUACAGGCUGCUAGCUUGUAUAAGUUGGAAGAAGAAAACCACGAAGCCGCCACCUGUCUGGAGGAUGUGGUUUAUCGAGGGGACAUGCUUCUGGAAAAGAUACAGAGUGCCCUUGCUGAUAUCGCACAGUCACAGCUGAAGACAAGAAGUGGUACCCACAGCCAGUCUCUUCCAGACUCGUAGCACCGGUGCAUGUGUACCACGUGGCUGAGAAAGAACUCUGUCAGUGCCAUUAAGGAUUCGGCAUCAGAUUUAGAUUCUUUACAAAUCAAAAAAGCCCUCACGCUGCAGGAGAGAGAUAGUGGACACUUGAAUUCAGGUUGCUAUCCUUCUGCCUCUUUAAAGGAAAUGGCUUACUGCAAAGAACCACCUUCCUCAGUAUGACCAAGGAAAAAACCCCCAUGAAUCUCAUCGCAUAGCCACACAGCUAAGUCUGGGGCAAAGAGGGCAGAGAUACUUACUGACCUUGAGAUAAGAAGAAAUCUAUCUCUGAUUCAGAACAUCUUGUGUACACAUUUAGGAUAAAAUUAAUAAAAGCAAAUGUUAACAACCUAACAUUUAGAGACAACUUGGGGAUCAAAGAGGAGAUGAUAAUGGAGAUUGGGACAUAAUGCAGAACUGAAUGCAAACGAACUACAUAUGGAAAGUUCAGGCAUUCUGCUACGACAGCACUUAGAUGCACUGUUACCUUCCUUGCUUAUAUUAGAAAAAUAGAAGUUGAAAAUUAAUUCACUAAGCUUCAAACGGAAAUAAAGAAGAAGGGAAUAAUAAAGGUAACAGAAGAAGUUAAGGAGGCAACCAUACUAUGACAGAAUGAGGAAAGCCCAAAGUUGAAAUUCAAGAAGAGUAACAAAAUGGAUAAUUUAGGCAAGUUUAAUGAAGGGGAAAAGAAAUCUGGCGUAAAUAAGCAAUAUGUAGAAUUUAAAAGUUAUGUACGUUGAUCUUAAAAUGUUGAGAAAAUUUGAAUAACUUCACGCCAAUACAUUUGAGAAUUUUGGUGAAAAGGAUAUAUUCCUAGAAAAAAAAAACUUCAGCCAGUAGGUUCAGGAAGAUCUACAAAUCAUGGUCCUUUAACCUUCAUAAAGAGAUUCAAUCAGUAGUCAAAACUGUAACCCACCAAUAAAGCACCAAGCCUAGAGAGUUUUAUUAAUUUUACUGAACAUUCAGAGGAAAAAAUUCCAGUAUUAUACAAAACAGAUAAAUCUCAUUCCUCAAAUCUGACAGGGACGGUACAAAAAUAAAAGUUACAGCCCAUAUCACUCAUGAACAUGCAAAAAUAAUAGCAAAUUAAAGCCAGAGGGUAAUGAAAAAGUGAAUACAUCACAAUAAACUUGUGUUUAAUUCCAGGAACGCAUGGCAGUUUUAUCUUUAUAAAUUAGUUUGUAUUUUAUCAAUUCUUAGAUGCCUCUAUUUUUUCUUAAUUUUCCCUUAAAGGGAAAUAUUCAAUGGGAAGCUAUUUUUUCUUUCCUUAUUGGAGCAUAAAAUAAUAGUAUGUUUUAAAAUUGAUGGAAUCUUUGAUUUGAUUGGAAAAUGUAAUUUGUCAUUAAUAGAUUAAUCAUGAUCAUCUAACUUGAUGCAGGAAAAGCAUUUGAUAAAAUUCAACAUUUAUGGGGAAACUCUUGGCAAAGAGAACAAAAGUUUUAUAAUGUGAAGAGCAACUUAACAAAGUACAGCAAACUUACUGAAAGGUCAAAUGUAUUCCCUCUAAGUUUGGGAACAAGACAAAGAUGCCUGCUAUAGCCACGUGUAUUUUGUGCCAGUGGUCAUACCAAUUCAUUUAAGCAUCAAAAAGAAAUAAAAAUUGCGCAAAGGAAACAAAGUCUUACUAUUUAAAGAUGAAAUAAUUACCUGGGGCGAAAAUGAAGAUUCUAUAGAUAAAUUUUGGAAAGGUCCUUGGACAUAAAAACAAUGUGCAUGCACUAUGCCAACAAAUGGUAGGAAAAGAUACUUUGAAAAGAACAUUUUCAAUAGCAUUUUAAAAAUGAACUUUUAAGCUUACAAUAAAAAUGUGAUACAUUUAGGGAGAAACAAUGAAAAUUGAGGAAAAAUUGCAGAAGUUUAGAAUAUUUAAAAAAACUAGAAUAAAUGGAGAGAAAUACCUUUAUGGGACAGAAGAGUCAGUAUUGUGAAUAUGAAUUUUCCUCAGGGUUUAACACAGCGUUAGUGAAGUUUCUAACGAAUUUCUGUGGAAAUGGCCAAGUUAUUUCUAAGAUGUGUAUGGAAGUACAAAGUGUCAGUAGAUACCGAGAUUCUCAUGAGAAAAGACAAUGACAAAUUGCUUUAAUGGGAAAUAGGACAGCACAUAUUAAUCAGUCCAGGGAUAGUCAAGUAGACCAAUGGAAGAGAAUGAAAAUCUAACAGAACUCAACACAGACACUAAGACUUGAUUUGUGACAGAGAUGAUGUUGCAAAUCAUUGGGGAAAGAAUAGAAAUGGUGCUGGAAUUUUAGUUAUCUAUAUGCUGUUUAUUAAAGCCAGUGCCUACGGGGUUUCUUUUUCGAGUGAUGAAAAUGUUAUGGAAUUAGUGGUAAUUGUACAACUCUGUGCAUAUACUGAAAAACACUGAAUUAUAUGAUUUAAUAGGGUGACUUUUUAAAAAUGGAGGUACUGGGGAUUGAACCCAGGACCUCACUCAUGCUAAGCACGUGCUCUACCCCAGAGCUAUACUCACCCCCGUAAAAGGGCAACCUUUAUGGAAUGCUAUUUGUAUCUCAGUAAAGCUUUUAUUAAAAAAAAGAAGGAAAAAAACAUGCCAGGUGAAGGGCAAAUAUCUGAUACUUUUAGGAGACAUUCUUGGGAAAAUAUCUGUAUAACUUCAGAAUAAGAAAGGAUCUUUUAAAAGUAGAUAUAAAAAGCUAUAGCUAUAAAGGAAAAUAAUAUAAAAAUUACAAUAAUAUGCAUCAGGCACUGCUUCAAACUUUUAACAUAUAUUAACUAAUUUAGAAAAAAGUUAAUAAAUUUAACUACAUUAAAAUUUAGAGCUUCUGUUCAUGAAAGUUCUCCAAAAAGUGAAAGUGCGUGCUCAACCUGGGAGCGGGUAUGUGCAACACUUGUAACUGAACAAACGGUUAGUAUCUAGAAUAUAUGAAAAUAAACCAAUAAGAAAAAGACAAAGAACCCAUUGGAAGAAUCACAAAAUAGUCAUUUCACAGCAGAGGAAUGGCCAGUAAAUGUGUAAAAAUGCUCAACUUCAUCGGUCAUCUGAGAAAUUUGAAUCCAACUUUCUGGGUUUUUAGAAAGGUUCACUUUCCCAGGCAGGAGGACAAACGUUUUUUAAAUUAAUAAUUGGCUAGCUUGAUUUAUGAAUUUCAUACAUUUGGAUAUAUGGUCCAUUGGCUUCUAUGGAUUCUUGGCCAGGGUUGCAUAUGUUCAGGACAAACUCAUUAAUGUCUGUUUAUAUAUGACUUAAAAGCAAGGAGAUUCCAAAGACAAAAUUCAGGGCAGUGAUUACCUCUCUGGUGGAAAGAAGCAGUUGUCAGGAGCAAAGAGGGCCUUUUAAGGUUGUGUGAUGAUGUUCUGUCUCUUCAACUGGGGGACAUGUAUUUAAUAAAAACUCAGUAUUUAACAUAAACUAUAUUUAGGGGUCAUGUUCAAUAAUAAGGUCUAAGGCAGCACAUUUCUAAGCUGCGUAAUACAUUGUUUCACUCAUGUUUGAAUUCGGCAGAACUGCUUGCCCCUGCCUAUUUACGGUUGCAAAUUUGCCUUUCUUCUGGUUGCCUGAGAAAGGCCUCAGAUGGUGGGAAAGCCCCAUUCAGGCACUCAUGCUGCAGAUUGGAGCUUCUGAGACCAAACACGUAGCAAUCUGUCACCACAAGAGGGCAGUUUGACCCUGAACUUUGGUUCUAUUCAGGAAGUGGUCGGGCAAGAUGUUCUGUGACCUUGAGCGGUCCCUGGGGACUAACUAGCUUGGUAGUGGUCAUCACAAGGUAGAGGAGUCCCCUGGAAUACGAUUCUGAUUUGAACUGGUGAUCUCCUGGAGCCAGUAACUUGAAUCUGAUGGCCAAACCUCUACUUUUCAUCUGAAAACAAAAGGACAGGGACACAACUUCAUGGCUCUUCAUAGAAGGGUUGUUAAGUGCUCACAAAGCGAGUUAUGUGAGCACUUUCUCUGGAUGGCAGGUGAUCUUUUAUGUCCAAGUUUAUGCAUGUGAGUGUGUUACACGGCUCCACGUCAGAAAUCUGCUGCUCUCUAGCUGAAGAGCAGCCCUGUGUGACGGGGCAGUGUAAAAAGUGAUGAAUAGCACACGCUCCUGUGCCUCCCUGCUUAAGCACUGCCACUUACUGGUUGUGUGACCUUGGCAGGUUAUCUCUGUCUCAGCACAGCUGAAAAAUGGGGGCAAUAUUACCAAUGACCGCAUGGGGUUGUUAUGGAGGGUAAAUGAGUAUACAUGUGCAGGAGUCCAGCACCCACUCUGGGACGUGGUUUUGUAGAAGCUACGCUAGUGGAUCAAGUAGGGAUGUGAUGGUGACCACAGUGCCUGCGUCCUUCUGGCCUUUAAGGGUGACUUUAAUCUCUGCCAUAGUUCUAGGCAGAAUUGUUUUUUAGUUUACAAUAUUUAUAAUAAAUUUUUAUAAAAUUGUUCUCAUGUUUACAGUACUUACAAAUAUUUAUGAUAUUUGGUUUUUGUUUACAAUAUUGCCAAUGCACGGUUGUUUUUUAUUUACUAUUUUGACCAAGGCAGGGUGGGAGGGACAGUUUCAGAGCUUCCACCUGGCUUCUUCCACUUGCAUAGCGCUCAUGUGGCGAUGAUGCUAACUGCAGGGUUCAGCAGCUGGGGAGAGGGUCACUGGAUAAAUCAUGGAACCAGUGGACCUAUUACGUGUGUGGGAUCUUUGCCAGGACACCAUUUAUUAUUUCCCAACAAGAGAGCCAUGAUAAUGCUUUGGAUUCUCAGGUAUUAAUGUCAAAUCAGACCCUACAGCCAACACUCCUCAAAACGCCGUGGUAUUUCUCUUUCCCGUGUACACGGCUACCUGAACAAAUAGCCAUGGGCCCCUGUGGGGUAGGUCAGGAGAAUUAUUGUCAUAGACACUUGUGCGGUGUUGUCGGGGAGCCUCAUGAGAUCGGUGGGUUCUGAAUCUGAAAGGGGACUCAGGAUUGGAAAUAGGGAAGAGAUCAUGACUUUUUACUGGGGCAGCUCCCCUCUGGAGUUUAAUCAUUCACCCUUGGUUUCGUCUGAUUCUGUUGAUUCCCUCUCCUGCCCUUAAGGACUCAUUUUCUCUUCAUCGCCAUAGUUCCCCGAGAGUCAGUGUCCCCACUGCUGCUCAUGACCAUAGUUGCUCCCACCUUGCUUCUGAUGAGCAUUGCCACCUGGCCCCUGUUUUGGGGGGAUCCUGUCAUUUCUACUGCUAUCAGGUAUCCCAGCUGGGUGCCAGCAUCUCCCACCAUCUGCUGUAGGCAGCGGUGUGCUAGAGCUGGCUGGCUCUUUUCAGCUCUUACAAGAGCCAAUUGUGACGUUUUAAGGAAUUUUAUUAGCCAGUUGUUAAACACAAGAUGUUAAAUAUUAUCUGACAAGAGAAUGACCGAAUAUGGAUAAACUCUCCCUUCUCUGACUUUAUUUUUUGUCUCGAUUCUGUACUCAUGUCAUGUCCCAGCCUUGUACGUAUUUUCCCAGCUCCUCCAGUCCACGUUAGCUAGGCCCUGCAGCUCCUUGUCCUUCUUUGCAGGCCCGGCACCUCCUCAGUUGGGUUAGAUUGUGAGUGAACCUAGUUUACUAUCUGGUAGCCAGGAUAAGAGGUGAAGGUGUAUCCUGGGUAGAGGUGUGUGGGGAUGGCAUUUGUCUUGCAAAGCAGAGGGUUCCACAUCAUGUUCAAGGAGGUAAGUAGAGCUAGCCUUGAGUAGGGAGGAGUGGGCCACUUGUUCAGGCCCAGAGGAAUCUGGGGAUUCAAGAUUUUUGCAUGCUUUAACCAAGAAGGCCCCAUGCUAUGCCUGAGGGUCACAGUCCUUCCCAAUCAAUGCCCUGACGGUGGUGAAGCUGACUUGCCUGGGUUGAGAAUCAAAUGUUUCUGGCACUUCACUUCUCUUAUAAUUAAAGGCUGAAUAUGAUCCUCAGCUUUUUCUGCCUUCAUGCUACAAGAGCUGAGUGUCUGCUGUCAAGGACGUUUUCCAGCUCCCAUGCUUUGCCUAAAAUCGCUGAUAAACACCUUUAGCCUCUUAUUACCCUCCGCCUCCUCCAUGCAUUGAUUGUAGCACCUGACACCCACUCUCAUAUUCCAGUUCUUUGUUGCAACAGAUUUCUCUGGGUGCAAUGGAUGACAAUAUGCUGCAUGUGUGUGGGGGGAGCAGUGUACAACUGGAUAAGUUUGACAUACACUCAUGAAACCAUUAUCAAAGCCAAGGUAACAAACAUUUCCAACAAUCCCUAAUUGUUCCUCCUACCCCUUUUUAAUUUAUCCCUCCUUUCACUCUCAUCCCCAGGGAAAUUCUGAUCUGCUUUUUGUCACUAUAGAUUUGUUUGUAUUUUCUAGACUUUUGCAUAAAUGGAAUCAUACAGUGGGUAUUAUUUUUUGGUCUGGCAUCUUUAAGUAUAAUGAUUUUGAGAUUUACAUAUGUUGUUGAGUUUUUCAGUUAUUCAUUCCUUUUUUAUUGCUGAGUAGUAUUCCAUUUAACGGAUGUACCAAAAGGUUUACUCUUUUACCUGUUGAUGUAUAGUUGGGCUAUUUCUAGGUUUGGGUUAUUGUGAAUACAGCUGCUACUGGAUAUAAGUCUUUGUGUGAACAUGUUUUAAUUUUUCUUGAAUAAAUAUGUAGGAGUGGAA
Vicugna pacos (alpaca) is the source of this 7079-nucleotide RNA transcript. It is a transcript of the gene named mediator complex subunit 21, with no coding region annotated. The record is from RefSeq and is a predicted model, not a curated record. NCBI's taxonomy places the organism in Eukaryota, Metazoa, Chordata, Mammalia, Artiodactyla, Camelidae.